AUGUACAAGUCAUGUGAGGCGGCAGCGGUCUGCAUCGUGUCACCCUGCAGGGGAGUCUCUGCAAGGCUGGGCUCGCGCUGCAAAGGCACGGGGCUCUCCUCCUGCUUGGGGAUAGGCAGGCAGGGCCAGGGGAUGGUUGGAGACUUGCAGCCCCAGAACCGGGCUCUUGAAGGUCACCUUGUUCACCCUCUUAGUGCCCCGGGCAGCAGGUGCUCCAGUAAAUGGAUGGAUGGAUCAAUAGCCAGAUGGAUGGAUGGGGAAUUAUGAUGCCACCUUGUCCUGAGCACCUCACAGGCCAGCUGAGACGUCAAGAUUCACCUGACUGCAAUUCGCAAGUGCAGAAAACAACCUUUGCUUGAGUUUCAAAUUGAAAGUAUGAUGUUAGAGUGCAGUGCUUUGGGGAGGCCAGUGAGAAUGAGGCUCACAGACCUCCAGCUUCAGGGAGUGCAGGUUCUAGCUGCUGGGUUCUAAAAUCCACUGCUGCUGAGGCCACACUGCCCCGGGGAGCAAGGGUACCUUGGCAGGCCCGUCCCUGGAGACACAGACUCCUCUGACUGCUAAGGGCCCCCCAGCAGCCUAGCCAGGCCUUCCUUAACCUGCACGGCAGUCUAGGAUGCUUUUGCACCACCUGACUUCCCUCGGUCCUUCACUCGGGGUGAGACUCACAUGGAGGUCAGACAGCGCUCCGAACCUCUCUGGCUCCCUCUCCUUCUCUCACGUAGGGAUUUCUCCAAGGAAAACCCUAGCAUGGCCAGUCCUGUCUUGGCGUCCGUUUAUCAGAGGACCCAGACGAACAUAGCCUUAGAAGUUUAAUGUGUUCUGUGGGCCAGGGAGUCAGAACAGGCUUAAUGAGGAGGCAGCACACCGUGGACUUGUCUAGCAGAAUUCAGACGGCUGGGAGGGCAGAUUCCUGGUUCGGGCAGCGCGGGCACAGGCUGCGGUGCCAGCCCUCUGGGGAGAGAGGCCGUGUCUGCCUCAUUCACUGCCAACCUCCUGCACGUAACACAGCACCAGGCUCAUAGUGGUCCCUCACUGAACUCCUGUUGAAUCAAUGAAUGAACAGACUCCUUCUCCCUCUUCUUAGCGCCACAAUCCCUUGUGCUUACCUAUGUUCUAGAAGCCAUCACAUUAAAAAAAAUUUUUUUUUAAGGUUUAUUCAUUUUUCAGAGACAGAGUGUGAGGGGGGAGGAGGAGACAGAGAGGGAGACACAGAAUCCAAAGCAGGCUCCAGGCUCCGAGCUGUCAGCACUGAAUCUGACGCGGGGCU
RNAcentral lists this long non-coding RNA (1267 nucleotides) under Felis catus (domestic cat). RNAcentral's name for it is "lncRNA (ENSFCAG00000048858.1)". The record is from RNAcentral. Lineage: Eukaryota; Metazoa; Chordata; Mammalia; Carnivora; Felidae.